This 253-nucleotide ribosomal RNA is filed under the name uncultured bacterium. RNAcentral describes it as "partial 16S ribosomal RNA". It matches the Rfam family "Bacterial small subunit ribosomal RNA", at positions 524 to 776 of the family's 1533-position model. The record is from RNAcentral.
UACAGAGGGUGCAAGCGUUGUUCGGAAUUAUUGGGCGUAAAGAGCUCGUAGGCGGUUUGUCGCGUCUGUUGUGAAAACCCGAGGCUCAACCUCGGGCCUGCAGUGGGUACGGGCAGACUAGAGUGUGGUAGGGGAGACUGGAAUUCCUGGUGUAGCGGUGGAAUGCGCAGAUAUCAGGAGGAACACCAAUGGCGAAGGCAGGUCUCUGGGCCACAACUGACGCUGAGGAGCGAAAGCGUGGGGAGCGAACAGG